UGGCUUGUAGCGCAACUGGCAGCGUAGCCGGCUCUUAACCGGCGGGUUGUGGGUUCGAGUCCCACCAAGCCAA
Molecule: transfer RNA, 73 nt
Filed under: Flavisolibacter longurius
Lineage: Bacteria; Pseudomonadati; Bacteroidota; Chitinophagia; Chitinophagales; Chitinophagaceae
Description: Flavisolibacter sp. BT320 tRNA-Lys
Rfam family: tRNA
About the family: Transfer RNA (tRNA) molecules are approximately 80 nucleotides in length.
Source: RNAcentral